AUCAAUUUACUAGUAAGCAAUGAACACUAACUUAAACUCGAAGCAUUUGAGUUGAGAAAAGAAGGUUCCGUUCCUACUUAUAAGCUAAGCCAAUCGAUCGAUGCAAAGUAUGUUUUGAGCUGUAGUGUAGGAGCACUGAUCUGUACUUCUGGAGAAGAAAAAAAUCUGUGAUAAAGACAGAAGGAAUCCGGUAGACUGAUUAAGCGGCACUUGCCGUGAGAUCUAGUUACUACUGACUGAGCACUAACCAAACUGAAACUGGAGCGAAGUCUCUCCCUAUUAGGUAGUAGGGGGCUCAAAGGGAAGAUGAACUUGCUAAGCCAGGCGGCAUAUAAACCUAUCGGGGGGAUAAGUGGAUCUCCUGUUACUUUUGUUCGGAAGUAUGUGAUCCAUUAAUUCAACAUCGUUUUCUUGGCUACUUUAUCGUAUGCAGCCAGACUUGACUCUUUUAGGCAAAUUACGAAGCACAUGGGCGUCCGCGACAGUGAAUGUGAUUCACCCCAUCUCAUUAUGUUUGAGCUGGUUUCUGGGCACCAUAGGCUGCUCAUCGCCUCUACCUCUAAGGUGUGCUGAUCUGAGGAUACUUCUUCUAAAGAAAAAGGAAUUCUGCCUCCUCCCACUGUUUUACCAUCUCGGCAUCUUCCAGCAUCUCUUUUAUCCAAUCAUUCCACUUUUGGCUUUCUGUUUCUAUGCCCCUCGUCUUGUUUGUCCGGCCGCUUCAUUGGAAUUCCAGAGGAGGUAUGUCGUCUGGAUCCUAGCUGUUUCCCGACACAUUGUCUUCUUGGAAAAUUCUUAUUAUAUUAUGCUUCUUCACCCACACCACUUGCACCACCCACAUCCUCCAUUUCUUAUCUUCCUUUUUUUGAUCUUGAGAAAACUUCGACGGAAUCGGUCUGUCAAAGCCCAGCGAAUAAUGCAACGUUCGUGCCACCGCCUUCUUUUUGCCCCAGUAGGUAAUGACUCAGAACUCUCUGCUCCUUCUGCACCAUCUGUAGUUCCUCUUCGACGUUUCAAUCGUCAAUCUGUAUCUACUGUCUGAUAUGGGUAUUAUCAUCUUCUUUUUUGACUACUUUUCAUUCUGUUCAUGUCCCUUCUACCUAUAAGCAGGCAGCAGAACUCGCAUGUUGGCGCAAAGCCAUAGAUGAUGAGCUCCAGGCCCUAGAAUCAAAUCAUACUUGGUGUUCCUCAACUCUCAGAUAGUUUGA
This 1205-nucleotide small RNA is filed under the name Arabidopsis thaliana (thale cress). RNAcentral describes it as "ATSL087900". Lineage: Eukaryota; Viridiplantae; Streptophyta; Magnoliopsida; Brassicales; Brassicaceae. The record is from RNAcentral.